GUUAAAAAGCUCGUAGUUGGAUUUCUGUGGGGACGGAGCGGCCGGCCGCACAUCGCGGUUCGAGCUAGCGCUUUCCCUACAUCCUGCCGCGAACCGUGCUACCAUUAGUUUGGUGGCGCUGGGGAUCGGCUCGAUUACUUUGAGAAAAAUAGAGUGUUCAAAGCAGGCCACACGCCUUGAAUAAGUUAGCAUGGAAUAAUAACUAAGGACUUCGGUUCUAUUUUGUUGGUGUUCGGGACUGAAGUAAUGAUUGAUAGGGACAGUUGGGGCGGUCAGUAUUCCAAAGCGAGAGGUGAAAUUCUUAGACCUUCGGAAGACUAACAGCUGCGAAAGCGUUCCGCAAGGAUGUUCCCUUUGAUCAAGAACGAAAGUUGGGGGAUCGAAGGCGAUCAGAUACCGUCGUAGUCUCAACUAUAAACUAUACCAGCUAGGGAUCGGCCAACGUUAUUUUAUACCGACUUGGUCGGCACCUUAUGAGAAAUCAAAGCAUCUGGGUUCCGGGGGGAGUAUGGUCGCAAGGCUGAAACUUAAAGGAAUUGACGGAAGGGCACCACCAGCCGUGGAGCCUGUGGCUUAAUUUGACUCAACACGGGAAAACUUACCAGGUCCAGACAUAGUAAGGAUUGACAGAUUGAUAGCUCU
RNAcentral lists this ribosomal RNA (642 nucleotides) under uncultured marine eukaryote. RNAcentral's name for it is "SSU rRNA". It matches the Rfam family "Eukaryotic small subunit ribosomal RNA", at positions 618 to 1258 of the family's 1831-position model. The record is from RNAcentral.